ACAGGAUGGUUUUUACGAAUAGGUGUAAACAUUAGAUUGAUCGUAAAGGGCCUUCUGUAAU
Molecule: transfer RNA, 61 nt
Filed under: Anisolabididae sp. NS-2016
Lineage: Eukaryota; Metazoa; Arthropoda; Insecta; Dermaptera; Anisolabididae
Description: tRNA-Tyr
Source: RNAcentral